CUUUGAGAUCCCAGCUAGUUCACUUUCUUCAGCCUCAACUUCCUCAAGGGUAAACUACACAGGAGGUGUGAAAGUUCGAGCCCAGCCUGAGCAACUUAGUAACUUGUGAAUAAAAAUUCAUAGCGUUAGAGCUGUUCUCAGUGGCACACACCUGAAAUCUCACCUGCUCAGGAGGAUGGCAAGUUCCAGGCCAGCCUGGGUAAUGUGAUCUGGCAACCCUACCUGGCACCAGGGACAGAACUUGUGUUCUUCAUUUUGCAGAUGAGGAAACACCCUCAAAGCGGGGAAAUAAUGGAGACUCAGGUCAUAAGUAGUUUCUUUGGAUCCAGGUCUCAGGGUCU
This 341-nucleotide long non-coding RNA is filed under the name Heterocephalus glaber (naked mole-rat). RNAcentral's name for it is "lncRNA (ENSHGLG00000039933.1)". Lineage: Eukaryota; Metazoa; Chordata; Mammalia; Rodentia; Bathyergidae. The record is from RNAcentral.